UCUGGUUUCUUGCUUCCUAAAAGCAAGUGGUGCGGAUGGAGGAAACUCCCGUCCUGUUUCUUACUUCAGGAUAAAAAGUAAGUGGCGUGCAUGGCA
RNAcentral lists this non-coding RNA (96 nucleotides) under unclassified sequences. RNAcentral describes it as "wcaG RNA". It matches the Rfam family "wcaG RNA". The record is from RNAcentral.